RNAcentral lists this ribosomal RNA (467 nucleotides) under uncultured bacterium. Its description in RNAcentral is "partial 16S ribosomal RNA". It matches the Rfam family "Bacterial small subunit ribosomal RNA", at positions 28 to 507 of the family's 1533-position model. The record is from RNAcentral.
GAUGAACGCUGGCGGCGUGCUUAACACAUGCAAGUCGAACGAUGAAGCCCAGCUUGCUGGGUGGAUUAGUGGCGAACGGGUGAGUAACACGUGAGUAACCUGCCCUUGACUCUGGGAUAAGCCUGGGAAACUGGGUCUAAUACUGGAUAUGACUUCUCAUCGCAUGGUGGGGGGGUGGAAAGAUUUAUUGGUCUUGGAUGGACUCGCGGCCUAUCAGCUUGUUGGUGAGGUAAUGGCUCACCAAGGCGACGACGGGUAGCCGGCCUGAGAGGGUGACCGGCCACACUGGGACUGAGACACGGCCCAGACUCCUACGGGAGGCAGCAGCGGGGAAUAUUGCACAAUGGGCGCAAGCCUGAUGCAGCGACGCCGCGUGAGGGAUGACGGCCUUCGGGUUGUAAACCUCUUUCAGUAGGGAAGAAGCGAGAGUGACGGUACCUGCAGAAGAAGCGCCGGCUAACUACGUG